GUUCUCCUGCUUGAUUCUGUUCCUUUGCUAGGACUGCUGUAACAGGAUACCACAGACCAGGUGGCUUGACAGAAGGGCAUUUUCUUACAGUUCCUGAGGCUGGAAGUCCAAGGUGAUGUCAGCAUGUUUGAUUUCUCUCUCCUGGGCUUGCAGAUGCCGCCUCUCCCUGUGUCCCCACAAGGUUGUUCCUCUACCUGUCUUGAGCGUGCUAAUCUCCUCAUCAGGACACCAGUCACAGUGGAACACGGCCCACCCUGCUGACCCCCUUUUGCCUGCGGGACUGCUUCGAAAGCUCUGUCUUCAGUCCCAUUCUGACAUCUGGGGAUUAGGACUUCCACUUACAGAUUUUGAGGACACGCGGCUCGAUCAGAGCAUUGCUACAGUAGAAAUAAGGAUUUCUGGGUAUCUUCAGUCAUCCAGAUAUCAAGUGGCGCCCUUUCUCUGCUCACCCGCUUGGAGCUGUCGCCUAAAUCCGCCAAAGAGAAACCAAACCUGGAACACCAAACCCUUAAUCCCAGAGGAGUGCGGAGUACCCGCAAGGACAGCUUCACAGGGCGCCGCAAGGCCGUGGCUUCCGCCGUCCAGCCACAGAAACUGACUGGCACUCGUACUGCUCUAAGGAGGGCACGCUGUCCUGUGUCUGUCUCUCCUGGCACCAUUUGUUGCAAGACUGUCGCGCGCUACUUUGCCUGGCUGACCCGUGUCGGAAUCCAGCUCAGGGGUCACCUCCUCCGUGAGGCCGUCCUCGAUGGGCUUUUCAUUCUGGGUUGGGCACCUUCAGUACAAACAGCCCUGGUGUGAAGCUAUAGUAUAAAAUUUUUAAUGUUUUAUUACAGAGAACUUCCAACAUAAAAUAGAAUAAGUGAUCUAGUAACCCCUCACAACGCUGAGCUUAUUGAACUAUAUUUGUACACUUACUCACUAGUUCACUCACAGUAGUGACUCCAGGAGGGGAGGGUCUAUACUUUGUUUGUUUGUGCGAGGUCUUGCUACGUAGCCCAGGCUGGUCUUGAACUCACAGUGAUGCUCCUGCCCCAGCCUUCCAGAGUGCUGGGAUUACAAGUGUGAGAAACCAUGCCCGGUAAGGACCUGUAUUUUACAAUAUUUUGUUCCCAUUCCCUGUGCCUGACACAUAGUGAAUGUUUCAAAAUGUUUUAAACAAAGUGUUACAGUAAAAGACAUGGUGCCAUGAAUUCCCUGCAAAAUGCUGUCAGUGGCCAAGCGUGGUGGCGCACGCCUAUAAUUCCAGCCUUUAAAAGGCUGAGGCAGGAAGAUCGUUGUAAGUUCGAGACCAAUCUGGGCUACAAAGUGAGCUCAAGGCCAGCCUGAACUGCAUAGGGAGACCCUGUGUCAAAAAGACAAAAAAAAAAAGAUGCUGUCAGAAACUGAAUAAAAGAAAAGACAAACUGUAAUAAGGAAAGGGAAAUGAACAAAGGAAAAAAUAUAUGUAUACACACAAGAUAGUUAAGAUAGUUAUACAGCUAACUUCUCUUAGUUUAUUGAAAAGAAAGCUUUGUGCUAAUAUGGUAUGGACAAGAUGUCACACCUAUAUCUUCUACUCUAAAUAACUACUAUGAAGACAACAAUACACAAUGUAUCAACUAUUGUAACUGUGCUACUAACCUGUUUUGAAACUCGGUUUCAUUGUUAUGUUUAUCUUCUCUCUCUCUCUCUCUCUCUCUCUCUUAAAUAAAAAAAGGUGCUGUCCCUGGCUUUGAACACACUUAUCCUGUCUUUCUUGCCACUUUCUGAAGCAGUUCUGGAAGUCCUAUUUCAGGUCUUUCAUCACACUGUCAUGGCUGCCUUCAGGUCCUGAACAGUUUAAAACAUUGACCUUUCAUGGUCAUUCUGCCCGUAGGGAAGAUCCUGAGGUUGCAUGAUGGAUAAGGUGAUGAGCCUGCCCUUCUGCUAGAUGCACCCAGCAGCAGCGUUCAUAGUUUUGAUCACCCCUCAUAAAGACACCCACUAAAAAGGACUUCCAGAACUUUUUCAGAAAGUAGCAAGAACCACGGGAGAAAUGUGUUCAAAGUGAGAGGGGGCGUUUUGGCAAUGUGUCUCUUACUGUAAUAAACCUUACAGUGAAAUAGUGCCCACAGAUUUUGAACACCCUUUGUAGAUGCUCAAUAAAGGAAGGUUUGAGGCACUAAUGGAAGUAGACUGGGAGCCAUUCCUCCGUUCAUUCUCUCCUCCUUCUUUUCUUUUUGAGGGUCUCCUCUGGUCCUCAGUCUCUGAGAGGCGAGGAGAGGCAGCCACAGGCACUCCCAGGAUGCCGAGGGCUAAAGGGAGCUCACCACAAUGCCCUCCUGCACCCCCCGUUCAGGAUGCUGGAGACUUAGGUUUAGGACAGCAUAUCCAUGUCACCAAGUUUAGCUUGCUGGCUUGUCUUCGUCUGCUCUUUCUGAAUGUGGCAAGUUGUUUAAUGCCCCUCUCAGCUGCAUUACGAGAGCAGAGGAAUUAUAUGUGCAGAGUGGUUGUGAGACUCAAAUAAAAUACCCAAUUUUUC
This 2503-nucleotide long non-coding RNA is filed under the name Chinchilla lanigera (long-tailed chinchilla). RNAcentral's name for it is "lncRNA (ENSCLAG00000025222.1)". The record is from RNAcentral. Lineage: Eukaryota; Metazoa; Chordata; Mammalia; Rodentia; Chinchillidae.